Ipomoea nil (Japanese morning glory) is the source of this 806-nucleotide long non-coding RNA. RefSeq lists it as uncharacterized. The record is from RefSeq and is a predicted model, not a curated record. The transcript has 2 exons. Lineage: Eukaryota; Viridiplantae; Streptophyta; Magnoliopsida; Solanales; Convolvulaceae.
CUUGCUCGCUGGAUUGAUUGGAUUAUUUGUCUUUAGAUCUCUCUCACUAUAUCUCACUCUUUCUUUCGCUCCUGGUUUUUGAACAAAGCUUCUAACUUUUUUUUGCCUGCUCACAUCUAUGUAGAUACAUACACAUCUGCUAGCUUUGUGGUGAUGAUAGCAGGUCUGAUGAUUCAUCAACCAAACCAGCAGUGAAUGGCAGGAGCCUUUGAUGUAUAAUGUCAUUAGGAACGGGAUUCAGACGAGUUUCCGGUGGUGGGACUGGAUUGAUGAGGUAUAUUUGCUUUUCAUUUUAUGGUUUCAUUAUAAACUAUGGAUUAGAUUAAAUUAUUGUGUUCUGCUGUUCUCAGUCAUAUUAAUGUCGUUUGAAGAGCUUGAUUACAUUAAUGAUGGAGAAAAUGGGACACUUUUGUAUAGAUUUUGAAGAAAGUAUACUUCAAGGAAGGUCACAUAUCUCUGAGAAACAUAUCUUUGUUAGUAUCAUUUACAUUAUCUUUAUUGCUUUUCAUUUUCUACAGUUUCUCGAUACAGGUUUCUUCCAUGUUGAUCGAUCAUCUGGGAAUUUGAUACGCACUCCAGAUGGAAAGCUAGAUCUAACAUUUUUGCUUUGGGGCUGUUUUUGUCUAAACUAAAAAUGUUUAUUUGUACAGUCUCACCUUUCAAAAUAGCCAACAGAUACAUUACUAUGGCUAUUUGUUAGCUAUAAUUAGUAUUUUUGCUUUUAGUCUUUAUAAAGUUGUGUGAAACAUUUCAUUUUGAUAGUGAUGAUAAAGUCUUUUACUAUAUUAAUGAGUUUACUUUGAUUG